UUUUAUUUAUUUAUUUGAGAGAAAGAGCAUGAGCAGGGGACGGUUAACAGAGGGGGAGAAGGAAGGAGUCCCUGCUCAGCAGGGAUGGGGCUCUAUCCCAGGACCUGGAGAUCAUGACCUGAGCCAAAGGCAGAUGCUUACUGACUGAGCCACCCAGACACCCCCUCAAUAACCAGUUCUCAGAGAUAUUAUAUUGUUGCAUUAGACUUUCACCUAAAACUUACAUUUUUUUGAGUUAAAAUAGACAUGUAACAUUAUAUUAGUUUCAGGUAUAUAUAGCAUGAUUUAGUAUUUGUAUAUAUUGCAAAAUGAUGACCACAGUUAAGUCUAGUUAAUAACCAUCAUCAUACAUAGUUUCAUUUUUUCUUGUGAUAAGAACUUAUAGACUUACUUUCUUACUAACUUUCAAAUAUACAAUACAGUACAGCAUUAUUAUUACAAUACAGUAUUAGUAACCAUAGUCACCAUGCUGGACAUUACAUACCCACGAUUCAUUUGUAACUGAAAGUUUAUACUUUUUGCCUACCUUCAUACAUUUCACCUACUCCCCACCCACCAUCUCUGGCAACCACCAAUCUUUUCUCUGCCUCUGAGUCCAAUUUUGUUUUGUUUUGUUUUGUUUUGAGGGGGUGGAGAAUUAGAUUCCUCAAAAAAGUGCAAUCAUACAGUAUUGCUACUUGUCUUUCUCUGACUUUUUAGGGUAACAUCCAUCCAUGUGGUUGCAAAUAGCAAAAUCUUCUUCUUCUUUUUAAUGGCUGAAUAAUUUUCCCCUUUGUAUGUAUCACAUUAUUUAUUUUUCUUUUGAUCGUGAUGAGAACUUAAGUAUAUGAAGUUAAUGAUUCAAUGGCCAGGUCUUAAAUUAAAAUGCAUAUGCAUAUGAACAUUUGUUGUUUUAAGUGGAAGUUGUUUUCCAAAAUGUGUAAAGUUAAAAAAAAAAUGUGUAAAGUUCAUUCCUUUAGUGUUUAGUUGGUGUUGGAGAAGUACAUUAAAUUUGGAUUGUUUUGUUAAAAGUUUCUUGUUUUCUUCAGCUACCAGUAAUACGAUGUUCUCUGAUUUUUAUGUAUGCUCACUGCUGGAUUAUAACCUAAAAUAUGAGUAAAGUCUCUGAGAAUAGUCUUAAAUAUAUUAAUGUUGGUCUCACUGCUAUACCCUUUUGCAAGUUUUCUUCAGGAACUAUUUCCUAUUAUGUUAAGUCACAUCCUCCAGGAAGGUGCUAAAUUAUUCUAUUAGUUUGACUUAGCAUCUAACAUCAGGAGAAUAAAACAGACAAUGUAGGAGUUACCAUGUGAUCCAUGGUAACUACCCUUAGGUAUAUACCCAAAAAUAGAAAAUACACAUUCACCAAAACAAACACAAAAAACACUCAUAUACAAAUGUUUGUAUUUAUAACAGCCAAAAAGUAGAAGAAACCCAAAUGUCCAUAAACCGAUAAAGAAAACGUAUGCAUAUGCAUGCAAGGGUAUAUUAUGCAGCCAUAAAAAUGAGGAUUAUUUUGAUACAAGUUACAACAUGGAUGAAUCUUUAAGACAUUAGGCUAAGGGCCGCCCGGGUGGCUCAGCGGUUUAGCGCCACCUUCGGACCAGGGCCUCAUCCUGGGCACACCUGAUCAAGUCCUACAUGGGGCUCCCUGCAUGGAGCCUGCUUCUCCCUUUGCCUGUG
RNAcentral lists this long non-coding RNA (1659 nucleotides) under Canis lupus familiaris (dog). Its description in RNAcentral is "lncRNA (ENSCAFG00000057858.1)". Lineage: Eukaryota; Metazoa; Chordata; Mammalia; Carnivora; Canidae. The record is from RNAcentral.